This 424-nucleotide ribosomal RNA is filed under the name Deraeocoris castaneae. RNAcentral's name for it is "partial 16S ribosomal RNA". The stretch from base 298 to 424 matches the Rfam family "Bacterial large subunit ribosomal RNA", at positions 2473 to 2600 of the family's 2925-position model. The record is from RNAcentral. Lineage: Eukaryota; Metazoa; Arthropoda; Insecta; Hemiptera; Miridae.
GUCUUUUAAUUGGAGUCUGGAAUGAAUGGUUGGAUGAGGGAUAAGCUUUCUUUAUCUUAUUUUUAAUGAAUUUGAUUUAUAUGUUAAAAAGCAUAUAUGUUUUUAAAGGACGAGAAGACCCUAUAGAACUUUAUAUAAAAUAUUAUAAUGGUUAUUUUAGUAUAAUUAUAUUUAUUAUAUAAUAUUUUAUAUUAAAUUGGGGUGAUGGAAAAAAUUUAAUAACUUUUUUGUUUUAUUACAUUUAUUUAUGUUUUUUUGAUCCUUUUUUUGGAGAUUAUGAGAUUAAGUUACCUUAGGGAUAACAGCGUUAUUUUAUCAUAGAGUUCAUAUCGAUGAUGAAGUUUGCGACCUCGAUGUUGGAUUAAAAUAAGUGAUAGGGGUAGGUUUCUAUCUUUUAGGUCUGUUCGACCUUUAAAUUUUUACA